UACGGAGGAGGCAAGCGUUGUUCGGAUUCACUGGGUGUAAAGGUCAUGUAGGCGUCUUAUUAAGUCGGAUGUGAAAUCCCAUAGCUUAACUAUGGAACUGCAUUCGAUACUGGUAAGAUUGAGUACUUGAGAGGUAAGCGGAAUUCCGGAAGUAUGGGUGAAAUCAGUAGAUAUCCGGAAGAACACCAUUAGCGAAGGCGGCUUACUGGCAAGAUACUGACGCUGAAAUGAGAAAGCUAGGGGAGCAAACAGGAUUAGAUACCCCUGUA
This 269-nucleotide ribosomal RNA is filed under the name uncultured prokaryote. RNAcentral's name for it is "partial 16S ribosomal RNA". It matches the Rfam family "Bacterial small subunit ribosomal RNA", at positions 524 to 792 of the family's 1533-position model. The record is from RNAcentral.